Sphingobacteriia bacterium is the source of this 370-nucleotide non-coding RNA. The record is from Rfam. NCBI's taxonomy places the organism in Bacteria, Pseudomonadati, Bacteroidota, Sphingobacteriia.
CUAUAAACCCGAACCAUCGCUCCAAUUUAUUGGGGAGGAAAGUCCGGACAGUAUAGAGCAACCCACCGGUUAAGCGCCGGCUUCUCAAUUUAUUGGGAAAGAGAGAGUGCCACAGAAAAUAACUACCAUGGUAAAACAUGGAAAAGGUGAAAAUGUGAGGUAAGAGCUCACGAUGACAAAUGGUAACAUUUGUUGAGGGUAAACCUUGGGUACUGUAAUGCCAUGUAAAGGAUUGUUGUAGAGUUGCUCGCUCUCGUUUCCAAUUUAUUGGAGCGCAAUCCAGGGUAGGCAGCAAGAUCACAGCAGUAAUGUUGUGGCUAGAUAAAUGAUGGAGUUGAAACAGAAUCCGGCUUACGAGGUUUAUGGUAUU